AACGAACGCUGGCGGCAGGCUUAACACAUGCAAGUCGAACGCCCGAGCAAUCGGGAGUGGCAGACGGGUGAGUAACACGUGGGAACAUACCCUUCGGUUCGGAACAACGUUUGGAAACGAACGCUAAUACCGGAUACGGCUUGAGGGCGAAAGAUUCAUCGCCGAAGGAUUGGCCCGCGUUCGAUUAGCUAGAUGGCGGGGUAACGGCCCACCAUGGCGACGAUCGAUAGCUGGUCUGAGAGGAUGGCCAGCCACAUUGGGACUGAGACACGGCCCAAACUCCUACGGGAGGCAGCAGUGGGGAAUAUUGGACAAUGGGCGCAAGCCUGAUCCAGCCAUGCCGCGUGAGUGAUGACGGCCUUAGGGUUGUAAAGCUCUUUCGCAC
RNAcentral lists this ribosomal RNA (385 nucleotides) under uncultured bacterium. Its description in RNAcentral is "bacterial SSU rRNA". It matches the Rfam family "Bacterial small subunit ribosomal RNA", at positions 29 to 441 of the family's 1533-position model. The record is from RNAcentral.